RNAcentral lists this ribosomal RNA (179 nucleotides) under uncultured bacterium. RNAcentral describes it as "partial 16S ribosomal RNA". It matches the Rfam family "Bacterial small subunit ribosomal RNA", at positions 335 to 526 of the family's 1533-position model. The record is from RNAcentral.
ACUCCUACGGGAGGCAGCAGUGGGGAAUAUUGCACAAUGGGCGCAAGCCUGAUGCAGCAACGCCGCGUGAGGGACGAAGGCCUUCGGGUUGUAAACCUCUUUUAGCAGGGAAGAAGCGAAAGUGACGGUACCUGCAGAAAAAGCACCGGCUAACUACGUGCCAGCAGCCGCGGUAAUAC